RNAcentral lists this ribosomal RNA (174 nucleotides) under uncultured Naegleria. RNAcentral's name for it is "5.8S ribosomal RNA". The stretch from base 1 to 141 matches the Rfam family "5.8S ribosomal RNA". From Rfam's summary of the family: 5.8S ribosomal RNA (5.8S rRNA) is a component of the large subunit of the eukaryotic ribosome. It is transcribed by RNA polymerase I as part of the 45S precursor that also contains 18S and 28S rRNA. Functionally, it is thought that 5.8S rRNA may be involved in ribosome translocation. The record is from RNAcentral. Lineage: Eukaryota; Heterolobosea; Eutetramitea; Acrasida; Vahlkampfiidae.
CUCUGUGCAAUGGAGCACACGGCUCGUGCAUCGAUGAAGCCCGCGGCAAAAAGCGAUAUGUAAUGAGAUUCGCUAGCCUCGAGAUUCAUCAAAUUGGUGAACGCAUCCAAAACCUGCAAAGGUACUUGCGUUAGAGUGCCAGUUUUUAUUCAAUUGCUUCUUGGUAAAGGUGAA